UGGGGUGUGGUGAAACGGUAUCACGCUUGACUCUGGAUCAAGUAUUCCUGGUUCGAAUCCAGGCACCCCAGCCA
RNAcentral lists this transfer RNA (74 nucleotides) under Rhodospirillales bacterium. RNAcentral describes it as "tRNA-Gln". It matches the Rfam family "tRNA". Rfam says of the family: Transfer RNA (tRNA) molecules are approximately 80 nucleotides in length. Their secondary structure includes four short double-helical elements and three loops (D, anti-codon, and T loops). The record is from RNAcentral. Lineage: Bacteria; Pseudomonadati; Pseudomonadota; Alphaproteobacteria; Rhodospirillales.